Molecule: ribosomal RNA, 468 nt
Filed under: uncultured bacterium
Lineage: Bacteria
Description: partial 16S ribosomal RNA
Rfam family: Bacterial small subunit ribosomal RNA
Source: RNAcentral
GACGAACGCUGGCGGCGUGCUUAACACAUGCAAGUCGAACGGAAAGGCCCUGCUUUUGUGGGGUGCUCGAGUGGCGAACGGGUGAGUAACACGUGAGUAACCUGCCCUUGACUUUGGGAUAACUUCAGGAAACUGGGGCUAAUACCGGAUAGGAGCUCCUGCUGCAUGGUGGGGGUUGGAAAGUUUCGGCGGUUGGGGAUGGACUCGCGGCUUAUCAGCUUGUUGGUGGGGUAGUGGCUUACCAAGGCUUUGACGGGUAGCCGGCCUGAGAGGGUGACCGGCCACAUUGGGACUGAGAUACGGCCCAGACUCCUACGGGAGGCAGCAGUGGGGAAUAUAGCACAAUGGGCGGAAGCCUGAUGCAGCAACGCCGCGUGCGGGAUGGCGGCCUUCGGGUUGUAAACCGCUUUCGCCUGUGACGAAGCGUGAGUGACGGUAAUGGGUAAAGAAGCACCGGCUAACUACGUG